ACUUCCUGGCUGCCUUGGUGGCUAGCUGCUUCCUUGGGGCUUUUACUCCCGUGGAUUUUUUGGUGUUUGCUUUGUGCGAGCCAUUGAAAUAAGUAAGUUAGGAAAAUAUUAGUUUUGUAAUCACUUUCAAUUUUUUUAUUUAAAUUUAUCCCGAUCUCAUGAUAUAUAUAUAUAUGAUAUAGAUCAUCAGAUUUUCAUGUUAUUUUUAAUAUAAGUUUUUUUAUAAUUUUUUUGUUUGUAUUUGAUUUUUCAAGAUAUUAAUCCAAUUCAUCUUUAAUUUUUUUUUGUUUUAUACAAGUGAAUUUUAUUUUAAAAAUAAAAAAUAUUUAUUUUUAAAUAAUAUUAUUGAUUUAUUGGGCCUUGCAUAGUAUUUUUUUUUUAAAUGUGAAUUUAUUCAAUUAGUUUUAUUUAUAUUUAUUUUUUAGAUCAUGAAAGUUUUAAAUUAUAAAUUUAUUUUUAAUUAAUUUUAAUAAAUAAAUUCAGGAAAUCUUUAAGCACGUGGAAGGCAUAAAAUAGAACAAUUUCAGUUUCAAAGAGACAAUCAGAACAAAUUAUACAGUCUUCAUUGCUUGGAAUUUCCACUGAAACAAAUAUGUCAUUUAGAAGAACAAAACAAAGAAGAGAACAAGGAUUUUGGGUACGAUUAAUGCAACAUGCGGAUUAAUUCAUAUGAAAGAAUUGAAAUUGCAGAAGCUAAACUACUUGAAGUAUAGAGCAGACGGCUUGUAUGACAGUCAGAAUGAGAAGAAUAGCAGCUCCUGAAACAUAGAUGGCUGCCCAUGGGGUUCUGAAAUAUUUUUCCUUCCGCUUGUUCCAUGGCCUUUCGCAGAAUGCAUUCAGAUCUUUAAUGAGACUUUUAAAGAGAAAAUCAUUAUAUUUUGUUUGUUGAGAUUGUAAAAGAGUUGUACCACUUCCUCAUUAGACGGUAGCCAGUUAUCUACAAUACGAUAAAAAACAAGUAUUUCCACAUCCUUGCUGGCACCGAGAAAGAGACCCAUCAAACUGAUAUAGUCACUAACAUAACGACAUUUCAUGCCAUGGCACUGCUCAAAGGCUUGCAAAUUCCUGAUUAUGAUUUCUGAGCUGUCAACUAACUUUAAUCGUGGAAUUUCUAGUCUCCCUUUACUUCUAUCGAAUUUUAUGUCAAUAAGAUGUUUGCUUGAACUCAACACAAACUUGACCCCCGCUUGGUGGAGCUCCUUUACACUGGGUACGGUUAGAACCUCAAGUUCCGCAUCCCUGUUUCUGUUCUUGGCCGAUGAUAAAUUGAAAGAAAGUCAACCAAAUGUUUGACUUCGGAGAAAUCUACUUUCUCCAAAAUGUCCCCUACUGCCCAUGAGCCGAAUGAAACUGUAAAGAACCCGUGAGUAAGCUCAAUCAGUGUAGGUUUUGGAGAAUUUCCGAAAAUAGUGGAUAGUCUAUACAACUCCUCGAGGAUGAAGAACGGGAGCUGAUUUUCAAGCAAACAGAUAUCAACCCUUACUUCUACACUCUUGUAUGGAGGAUAGAAAAUGCUGUCUCUGCUUCCCUCUGAAGUCUGUGUACUUGCACUUCAGCAAAAACAUAAUGACGAAGGCAGCAUCCAGUAAUAUCAUUUUUAUGAAGUAUUCGCUACAAAACGCAAUGGUUUCGGCAUAGCAAUUACGCAAUCUUGUUUCGUUCUUCUUAAUCAAUUCAAUAAAACCCUCCACACUUACCUCGGUCCGGGCAAGGAAUUGUUGCAGGUACAUUCUUUUGUGGUCUUCCAUGGCUUUUAGCAUAUCUUUACCGUGGUGAAUUGGGCCUAUGGAGACUACACGAGGUGUGUAGGCCUUUUCGUUCAACUCGCGUAAUCGCUCAGGAACUUUAUAUAUACAACAUGUGCCGGAGAAAGCAUGUGGGAUUUCCAGCUCGUUCUUCACGGAUUGGAUUAAUCCAUCAAUAUCAAGCGAAACAUCAUCUAUACAUGUGCCGGAGAAAGCACGUGGGAUCUUUAGCUCUUCAUUCAUAGGUGGCUCUGAGGAGAAUGAUUUAGUUGCGAAGAAGGAUCUACCCUGAGGAUUAGUGCUUGAUGAUCCUCCAGAUUGCAUCCUGUGACUGAACUGAGAUGAUGGCUAGUAUUAGAACAAAACAAGCAGACCAAAAAAAUUGUUACCACUGAGAAAACAAAUUCAUUUACGAAACCCAAAAAAGAGAUGAAACUUACAGCCUUAAGUUUGCCUUCACUAGCAACAAUUUAACCAGUAAUAUAUGCAUGUAUGUAUGUGGGACCACUUGAGUGAUACAAAAUAAGUGAUGUAUUUAUAAAGGAAAACACCGCAGAUUGAUGUACUGUUGGGUACGGGAUAAAUUUUUUCUCCGGUAACAUAGUUAAGGAGAUCUUACCCGAUGAGCAAAGCUUCAAAUUGAGCGUGCCAUUGAAAAAUGUAGAGGAAGUGAGUUUAUUAUUUAUCUGAGAUGUGAUGUUGAGAGCAAUUAGGAGUAUUUCAAUUGGAUAAGAUGGAGUUGAGAUUGGAUUAUGGGUGUGAGCGAUCGAAUUCUCGUUAGAGAUUUCUUGCUCCGAUACCAUGAUUAAGAUAGAAUAGUUUAGAGAUUUGUAAUGCCGUUGAUAAUUUUCAGAAUAAUAUUUUUCCACACUUUGAAUAAUACAACUGUUAACAUAUAUAAACACAUGAUUGCAUGUUUUAAUUUAGAAACAAAGCUAAGAUUAGUCUAGCAUUUACACUAAGGAUUGUUUGCUGUUACAAGCUUGAUAUUAGGCUUGGACAACGGUUGCACGAUUCUGUGCAAGAGGCAAGGGAUCAUGUUCUUUGUUGUAACCCAUUUUUGGAUUCACCAAGUUUUUCUUGAAUGUUAUUUUAUUUCUAUUAUUAUUUAUAAAAAUCCAAAAAAUAAAAAAAGUUUAAAAUUCAAAAGAAUAUUUUUUUCUCGAGUCAACCACAUCUUUCCAUCAAAACCGAGUUCACCGGGUCGAUACGGGUCUAACCAUGUCGACCGGGAUGAAAAAUGAGUUUCAGGUCAUUUUGGGUCAAAACUGUUAUUUUGUGGUCAAAACCCGGUUCACCGGGUUGAUACCCACUGAAAGUUUUUUGUGUUUCGACAUAAUUUUCGGUAAUUAAAAUUGAUUUUUAGCGGUUGAGUCGGGCUUUUUCUAAUACUGAUUUGAGUUUUAAUUUUACCUAUAUAAUAUUAUUAUUAUAUAUAAUAAAACAAUUUUUUUUUUGUCAUAUUAGGCAUGUUAGGCAGGGUUUUUUUCUUACAAUUAGGCAACAAUUUAGGCAGAAAUCAACUCUUAUGUUACUGUUCACUGGCUAUAAAUAGCCGGUGACAAUCACUGAAGAAGGGAAGAAAGGGAGGAGGAGAAGAAGAAGGAGAGGAGAGAAGAGAAGGGAGAGACAGAGAGAAGAAAGCAGAAGAAGAAGAAGCAGAGAAGAGAGUCCCACCGCAGGUAGCCUUUCCCAUCGUUUUUGUUCUGCAUGCAGAUGAAGAUUAAUUAGCGAGUUACUGUGCUGUGCACAGUAACUCGCUAAUUAAUUCACGGUUACUGUGCAUGUGCACAGUAACCCGCAGAUUAAUUCUCUGGUUACUGUACACACAGUAACCCGGUUACUAUGUGCACAGUAACCAGCCCAUUCUUUGGGCCAGGUUCGGCCCAACCCAUAUAUUUGGGCCUGAUCCGGCCCAUUUCAAAGAAAAAAAUCAAAAAAUAUUUGUUUCAGCAUUUUAUAAUUUUUCCGCGUAAUUUUUAUGUCAUUUUGAUUAAUAUUUGGUGGUAUUUUUUUAUGUUGUUAAAAAUACAAAAAUCUGAUUUUUAAAUACCCGGUUUUCGUCAAAAAAAACUUCCACAAAAUACAAAAAAAUUAAAAAAAAAAAAAAAUGUUUUUGUGCAUACGGCCAAGUGUCUCAAAGCUAAAAAUUCAUAUUGUAUUUUUUCAUACACCAAAAAAAAUUUUUUAGCAUGCAUUUUGGCUUUAAUAACCAGUUUAUUAAAGUCAAGAGAAUAUUGGCCAAUAUUUCAAAAACAACAAAAAUUUUAUUUUGUUUGUCUCUUAGUAUCCGGGGUAUGACUUUACACGUAAUGCAUAUUCCGGAUAUUUAAUUCUUUUUUUUUUGGACAAUAGAACCUGGGGUAUGACAUUACAUGUAAUGCGUAUUCCGAACAAUAAAAAACCACAACGCGACCUUGGAUUUUAUCAGACAUUAAAACAAUGCAGCUUACCUUAGGUAGGGCGUAGUUGGGGUGCUAAUACCUUCCCUUUACGCAACCAGUCUCCGUACCCGAUCUCUAAAGACCAGUUAAGGUUCCUAGUAACCAAAAUACUAGGUGGCGACUCCCUGUCCAUUUUUAGCUUAGAGACAAAGAACUCCUUGUCUCACCAUAUUUUCCAUGCCAAAUAGACAACAUACCACACCCUCAUGAAGGGUUGGGGGUGGACGAUCGCCACACCGUCGUACACGUGCGACAUUCUUGAUCUGUGGUGAUUUCCUUUAUAGUGUUAAAUUUCUUUAAUUAAAAUUAUUGAUAAUGUGCCUUGUAUAGUUCCACAUUAUUUGUAUCAAAUGAUAAAAAUUAAUUACCAAAAUAAAUCAUUAUUAUAUAUUGUCUCAUAAGAAAUUUGCUUACUAAGUUUUAUUUUUGUGAAAAGAAUUCUAAGAGUUUGUCAUUAGAAAAAAUGAUACUUUAUCAUCACAAAAAAAGUAUGAUAAAGAAAUGUGCAAAUAAUGUUGAUAAUUCUUAUUUUUCACACAAUAUUAUUUAGAACAAUAAAAAACAUAAUGUCAAUCAUAAAAAGCCCGUUGGAUAGAAACUUACAUACCUAAAAGCUCUCGACAACCGACAGUUUUAGAACUUUUGCUCUGCCUCUAGUGUCCAAAGAGAUGUGCCAAGAAUGGUAGACUCUCCCUCUUUAAUAGACAUUCCAAAAGGUUUUAUUUCUCCAAUGGCAAGCAAAGGAUCCUCUUAGAUAAUAAUUAGCUUUAUUCUAUAAUAUUUAUGAUGUAGCAGGGUUUGUAAAAGUAUCGGGUUAUAAGUAAUUAUAUGAGACCUUGUUCUCGAUAAAAUAUGAAUGACCUAAUAUAUAAUUUUACGGACCGAAAAAACAAAUAUAAAUUAAAAAAAAAUCGUCAUGCAAGACCAUAAUAACAACUUAAAAUAGUAAUAAUUAGAGAUCAUAAUAACUAGAUGUAACCAUUAAAUUGAGUUUAAAUUUUUACAAAAGAUUACACAAUCUAUUUUCUUAUAAAAAACCACUUUGUUACUUGUCAGACAGUUGGAUCUCCUGUAAUAUUCAAACUAGUUUCAGCGAUCCACAAAAUGAAGAUCAAUAGACCAGGCUAUGUAAUCCGAGGGAAAGGAAAGCUAAUUCUGGACGAGAUAAUAUUUAAGCAUUUAACAUUGAUGCUGAAACGGCAUAAAGCGAAUGCUUCAAAGGUGGAAGCAUUUUCUACAAUGGCUUCAAGGCAUUCCAAUACUUAUUGUCGCACCCCAAAAAAAUCCAAUCAAUGCGGGUUCGACUGGCGAAUUUUUUUAUUAUUUGGUUUGAUUUGGUUUGGUUCUUUGGAGUCGCCACCUAGUAUUUUGGUCACUAGGAACCCUAACUGGUCUCAGAGAUCGGGUACGGAGACUGGUUGCAUAAAGGGAAGGUAUUAACACCCCAAAUACGCCCUACGUAAGGUAAGCUGCAUUGUUUUAUUGUUUAAAAAAAAACUAAGGUGUUAUUGUGUUUUCCUAGUUGUUGGUCUGUCUAUGGUUCAAGAAAAAUCCUCCUCGGUAAGGAGAUCUUUAUCUUAUCAGGUAAAAAUCCUAACCGUUCUAACGUCCAUACCAAAAUUUUAUUAAUAAUAUUUAGGAAUACGUUUUACGUAUAAAUUCGUAAUCCCAAAUACUAAAAGAAAACAAAAAAGAUUUUUUUAGAAUUUUUGAAAUAUUGGCCUAGUUCUCAUGGCUUGAAUAAACUGGUUAUUAAAGCCAAAGUGCAUGCUAAUACAUAUAUUGUUUUGAAAAUUUUCUUUGUUGAGUGAAAAUAUGAUGUUAUAAUAUUUAUAUAUAUAUUGGAGAGACUAGGCCGUAUUUUAAAACAAAAACAAUUUUUGGAAAAUAUUAUUUUUUUUAUGCUUUGACGAAAAUCGGGUAUUUUAAUACUGAGCUUGUAUCCUUACGGUAUAAAAAUACAACCCAAUAUUAAUCCUCUUUGCUAAAAAUAUGCAGAAAAAUCAACAAUAUUUUUUUGGGACUUUUUAGAAUUUUUUUGAAAGCAAAAACAUUUUUUAUUCUGAAAAAUCUUUGAUGUUUUGACGAAAACCGGGUAUUUUUAACACUGGUUUUGUAUCUUUACAGUAUAAAAAUACAAACCAACAUUAAACCACUUUGACUGUUCACUUUAACCAACAUUAAACCGGAAAUGUGCACCUGGCGUGGAGGCGAUCGCUGGUGGAGCUGUGGUGUCGCUGCGGUGUCGCGGCCUCGAGGACGGUGGCGCUGUGACUGUUCCCUCUCUCUCGUUGGUUCUCUCUCUCUUCGGUCUCCUCUCUCUCUCCUCCCUUCGGUUUUUUUUUUUUUUUCUGUUUUCGGUUUCGUUGUUUCUUGCUUUCGAUUUGUUUCUCUUCUCCCCUCUCCUUCGUGCGUUAUUUCUCUUCUCCCUCUAUCCUCGGGUGCCUCUCUCUCUCUCGGCCUCUCUCUAUUUAUAAGCAAAAAAGGAAACAGCGUGCCUUUUGUUAGUGCGCCUUCAAUCACGCAACGGCUGGUCGGCCAUUGAUGCUUUCGGUGGUGGUGGUGGGGGCGAGGAGAGAGAGGCGGGAAGUUUUGAAAAAAACAAAAAUGGUUUUCGUCCUGUUUCUGUUUAUUCGGGGGGGAAGGGGGAAGAUGAACAGUGUCGUUCAAAACGACACCGUUCUGAUCUUCCCUUUUUUUUUUUUUUUUAUAUGAAACGGCGUCGUUUUGGAUAAAACGCGCCGUUUCAUUUAAAUGGGUCAAACUUCAAAUCAGUCCUCCAAAUUCGGUCCCCGCCCCUCUUGUUGGCCGCCUUUUUCACUUUGGUCCUUGGUCUCUGAUUUAUGCAAUUUAGCCCUCAAUUGAUUAAUAAACUUUCAAUUUCUUCAAUUAGGCCCCUGAACCGAAAAAUUGCAGCCCCUCCAUUUACGCGCCUCUUCCAAUUUGGUCCCUGGUUUCGGAUUUUCUUAAUUAAAUCCCUAAUUGGCCCUUAAACUUCAAUAUUUAUGCAAUUAAGCCCCUGAUUUGACCCAAUAAAUUCCUAAAAAAUAUAUUUUGGCCCCAGAACUUAAAUUUCUUCAAAUUAAAGCCCAAAUUGACUUAAAAAUCAAUUUUUCUUGCAAUCAAAUCUUCUAUAAAUUCAAAUAAAAAUCCAAUUAAAUCCAUAAACAUCCAAUUAAGUUCAUAAAAAUCCAAUUAAGUCCAUAAAAAUCCAAAUUCGGGCUUUUCUCCUUAAAAUAAAAUUUUCCUUCUCAAUAGGGCUUUCAUCCUUCAAGAAUAUACUGUCAAAAAUUCAAUCCUUGUAUUUUUAAAUUCCUUGACCAAUUUUCGAACUGUUUUCCGAGCGCUUCUGCCUCCUGUUAUUUUCCUAACUUCUUUUGGCUAUUUAUUUUAUUUUUCAGGGGGACCCAAAAAUGGGUUACAACACUUAUAAUGGUUUGCACGUUAACAAUAUUCUAUUAUAAACCUCCUUUGAAGUAUAGCAUAAAGCAAAUGCUUCAAAGGUAGAGCAUGGCUAGAUCCCUGGCUCGUGUUGCAUGGCAAGUCAGAUCAUUUAUUUUACGUGAAUUUUGUUAUGUGAAAUAGCCACGCCUCUUUUUUUUUGUUGUUGUUGUUAAUUUAUUAAAAAUUUUGUGAUGUUUUGCCAUCAAGAAAUACAGCAGGUAAAUUUAAGAAGCUAAAAAUGACUAAACAACUGAUCAUAGGAGACCUGAACAACUUGAAUGAUAGAGCACGCAGUUUGUAUCUCAGUGAGCAUGAGGAGAAUAGCAGCAGCGAUAACAGAUAUUAUGGCCCAUUAAUGAGACUGUCUUCAAGAUUAGAGACCUUGAAAAGUCUCUAGCUUUUGCUGAGAGGAGGGAGAGAUUUCUUGGACUAACUUCCCUGGGCAACCCAGCCCACUAGUGAGAUUUCUUUAAAUUUUUGUUUUUGUUAAAAUUUAAUAUAUUUUGUAUUAUUUUAAUAUACUAAUAUCAAAAAUAAUUUUUAAAAAAAUAAAAAAAAUCAUUGACAUGAAUUUUAGCAAGAAAAAUUAUUUGCAAAAUAAUCACAACCACCCAACCAAACAAGUUCUAAAACUUGUCAAUAUUAUAAGUUAUUUCUAUAACACCAAUUUAAGAUUUUGAAAAUAAUAUUUCACAUCAUAAGUUUAAUUCUCCAUCCAAAAAUUUUGACUUUAGAUUUUGUUUUAAAAAAUAAAUAUAAGAUUUUAAAUUUUCGGUAAAAAACAAUAUAAAAAAUAACACAGUAAAAACAAUAAAGAUCUGAGCAUGUAUAUUAAUCAACAUAUUAACACUUUGCAGUCUUGACCCCAAAUUAGCUAAUCCAUUCAUUGAUUAUAAAUAUUGCAUCUGCUAAGAUUAAAAUUCAAAUUAGGCAAUGAACCAAACCCAAAAUGCUCAAUCAGCUAAACGAAAGGGAUCUCAGCAGCUAUUGCUCAUCCAACUUCACUAAGCCCUCUCUCCUCUUAUCCUACGGGCUAACUGGAUAUCUUUAGGCAUAAUGGUGACCCUCUUAGCAUGAAUAGCACACAAGUUUGUAUCCUCAAACAACCCAACAAGAUAUGCCUCUACUGCCUCUUGAAGGGCUGCUACGGCACUGCUUUGGAACCUCAAGUCUGUCUUGAAAUCCUGGGCUAUUUCCCUCACCAGCCUUUGAAAUGGCAGUUUCCUUAUUAACAGCUCAGUGCUCUUCUGGUACUUCCUGAUUUCCCUCAGCGCCACUGUUCCUGGCCUGAAACGGUGGGGCUUCUUCACCCCUCCGGUGGCUGGAGCUGACUUCCUGGCUGCCUUGGUGGCUAGCUGCUUCCUGGGGGCUUUUCCUCCCGUGGAUUUUCUUGCUGUUUGCUUUGUGCGAGCCAUUGAAAUAAGUAAGUUGGGAAAAUGGGGUUUCGAGUUUCUUUUUGUUACUCGAGAAAAUGAGGGAAAGUAAGGUUUUUGAGUGUUUUUGGUGGUAGGGAUAGGAGGUUCUGACGAUUUUUACAAGGCAAGGGAGAGAGGUGGUGGAUGAAGGAAGGAGACAGUGAAAUGGGAUUUGAUCAGCCGUUGAUCGGUAAGCCAAUGGACAGUUGUGAUGGAGAUCCGAGAGCGCGUGAAGCGGCCAAUAGGAUUGCUUCUCUCAGGCGGGCUCGUUAUUCAUCUUUUGGAGCUCCUGACCUUUUCGCUUUUGGAUUUAUUUGAAAGGAUCCGCGGUUGUGAAUGUUUCAUCUGCGUGCUCUGUUGAGUGACGAAUAGAAAUGCUUUAUUUGCUUUCUUUUUAGAGAUUUUGGGAGAUUAAAUAUGGACCGUUGAUUUGCUAUUGAACUGACUUGAAUGUCGUCAUAGAUUAAUCUAUAUGAGAAACCACAGGUAGGUUAACUAUAUAAAUUAUAAAUAACAACAACAACAACAACAAUAACAAUAAUAAUAAGAUAAAGAGAGCUUUGGGAUGUGAUAUUGAUGUAAGGAUUAAACAAGCAUAAAAUAAUUGUCAAGGUUAGAGGAUCCACUAAUGGUACUUCAAACAAGUAUAAUAUAAACUCUUUUUAUUACUCAACUGGAAACCACAUACAAAGAAGGUUCCAAUCGGAUUAUAAAUUGUUAACAUGAUUACAUUAGUUAUCUUAUUCGAAUAAAGCUAAUACUUGUAAAUGUUGGCAGGCAUUCAUGAUUAUAACUUAUGUUAACAACAAAUCAAGUUCCUUUCAUAGCUCAGGUGUCGGUUAUACCAUACAGUAUGGGCUAUGAAAGUGCCAAGUAUUUGUUGUACCAAGUGUUAUACAACAUAAAUCUAGAUUAACCAUUUAACAAGCAAAGUAUUAAAAGUGAACAAGAUAACAAAUAUAAAACAUGUUAGUAUCCAACAUUAAGGUCCAUGUUAAGUUUAUAUUAUACUUAUUCUUACACCAUUAGUGUACCCUUUUCACCUUGACAUAAUUAACUUAGCUAAACAUAAUGAAAGAAAGAAACAUAAAUGAACAAGAUAAGAACAUAAAUGAGAAAGAAGUUAACUAAGUAAAGGAAAGGAAAUGAAGUGCAUAAACUUGAUAUUAAUGAAAGCAAAACAUAAGCAAUACAAAGAGAGAAAGCAAGAGCAUGAUCUUGAUCUGGAAACCAAGAUGCCUCAAUACAUGGUAAGUGCCUCCUUUUAUAGGCCAAAAUUUGGAACUAUUGAUUUGUUGACUAAUUGAUGAGUGGGUGGCCACAUCUUGACUUGGUGACAAUCCUUAUCUUCUUGUCUGAACAAGACGUCAUUGCUAACAUCAUAAUUUGCCCAGAAUCCUCAGAAUGUUCUAGGAAAUUGUCUCAGCUUUCCAACAAAAAAAAGAUGAGGUCAUUUGGACUUCUAGAACUCAAGAUAUGGGCUGAACACUAAAUAGUGUCUGGGCUGCAGGACAGCUUCGGACUUCUUCGUUGUUCCUUAAUUUGGACUUGAAAACGGCCUUUUAAUCUUGGUGUCCAUGAAAGUUGUAGGCCUAUGUUUACCUUUCUAUCCAUAUAAAAUGGACCUAAAUCCGAGAUCUAGAGCUCCAGAUAUGAUCCAAUUACCGAGCAAUGUUCUGGUUUGGACUGCACCAACAUCUCUUUUCUAAGUUUGGCCAUCUCUUUGUCCUUUCACUUUCAAUGCUUAAACUCAUCAAUCAAUCCUUUUAUUUAUGUGAUAGUCCUGCAUUUAAGAUGAACAUUUACCAUAAAUUAAGGCAUCUUAUAGUAUCAAACUUGUUAUUAUAAAACAUGCUUUAGUUAAGGAGUUAUUGAUACUUCAAGUGCAAAAUGAUGAUAUAAAACCUUGAUAAACAUGUACUUUUAAGUACUAAUCAGUUGGUAAAUAUUACGUAACUAUAAAAUAAAUUUGGAUCAAUAUUUUUAUUCCUGCCUUUGGCAUCAGUGAAUAAACAAAUAAAAUAAAUUUAUUUUUAUGCAUGCACAUAUUUUUUAUUUUUCUAACUAAAUAAAAUAAAAUACAAUGAAUAAAAAUAAUAUAAAUUUAAACCGGUAUUUUUAUUCCUGACUCUAACGUCAGUAAAUAAACUAAAAAAUUUAUUUUAUUUUUAUUCAUGCAUAUAUAUUUUUUUAUUUUUUUUAUUUUUUUGGGCUGGGCUAGACCGGCUGGGUAACAGAGGACACGCGUGAUGUAAUAAUCAGGCGGAGAAAUUAACUGCAUUGAGUUAAUCUCAAAAUGAACAGUAAAUCGUGAAUUAAAAUGAAAUGCAGAGAACGAAAGUUUACUUACCUGGUAACUUUGAAAAAGAAAACGUAAGGGAAGACUAGCCUGCUGACCGCUUUUCUCCUUCUUUCUUCUUCAUUCUUAUUAUUCUGUGAAUGGUUGUAUCCCUUUCUUUUGCUCUCGGUUCUCUCUCAGCUUUCCAUCCCCUGUCUUUGUUUUUCGUCUCUGCUGGAAAUGGAGAAGGCAGUGGUCUCUUUUCCUCCGUGGCCUUCUCUGGCUUUUAUAAAGCCAGAGGACAACCUCUGUUUCUUUGAGAAGAAACAGAGGAACGAAAGUCUGGCUUCUCUUGGUUCCCCCCCGCUCAGGACGAAGAAGAUGGUAAUAAAGGCAUGAUGUGAUGCUGGUUGAACGGAAGCUCAGGACCAAUUAAACCUCUGAUUGGAUUAGUUAAAUUAAUUACAAGCUCAAUUAAGUCUCAAAAUUAUCAAUUCUUCAAUUAAGCCCUUGAUUGGAUUAAUUAAACUAGUCAAGAGUUUAAUUAAAUCUUUAAACUUCCAAUCAUGUUGCCCUUAAUCCAAAUUUUAAUUCAUUCUUCAUUUAUUUUAUUUUUACUUGUUUUUUCAUCAUUUUUUAUUAAAUAAAAUAAUAAUAAGGUCAAAAAUUGGGUUAUGACAAUGAUGACUUAACUAAACUUGGUCAAAAUAAUUGUUGAAUCAAUUAGAGUUGACUGAGUAUAUAACUUUUCUAGUUUAAAUUUGAGCCUCAUUUGUUUACUGGAAAGUAGUUUUUUUUUUUGGAAAGUGAAUUAUUUUCUGAUGUUUAGUAGUGUAAUGAAAAAUAAGUUGGAAAAUAUUUUCCAGUGUUUGGUUAUGUCAUGGAAAAUGAGCUGGAAAAUAACUUAUUAAUGUUUUAUUUUUCUCAAGUUUAUUAAAAUAAUGAGGAACAAAUUUUACAAAUUAAAAAGUUGAAUGAGAAUGAAAUUGCAAAAAAACAAAUUCAUAAAUUAUCUUAAAUAAAAUAAAUAAUAAUUAAAAUAAUAGAGAUCAAAUCUAAAAAAUAAAAAAAUAAUAAAAGAUGAAGAAAUUAUAAUAAUAAUAAUAAUUAACAUUUCAUAAAUUAUUUCAAAUAAAAUAAGUAACAAUUAAAAGAAUAAGGAUCAAAUUUGAUAGAUAAAAAAUUUCAAAAAAAUAUUCAAAACAAAAUAUAUAUAGCAAUCAAAAGUUUGAGGACCAAAUUUGAUAUAAUCAGCAAAUAAUAUGACAUUUCUAAUUUUUUUACAACUUCCGGAAAGUGUUUUCCGUCCAAAUUUUCUAGGAAAAUACUUUCCUAAAAACCAAGUCAAAUUUUCUUUUGAUUGGAAAGUAUUUUUCGUUGACCAACUUUCCUAAUAGCAAACAAACACAAGAAAGUUUGGAAAGUGGUUUCUCGAAAAUCACUUUUCAGGAAACAAACAAGGCUUGAGUUCUUUUUUAGUCUUGAAAUAAUCCAUAAGAUUACGUUUAUAUCAAAAUCAAAAGGAAUGUAUAACCAAAAAGAAACAUGACUUAAAUUUUAUUGUCCAAGUAAUCUUCUAUCAAAGAACUAUAUCAACCCAAUAGCUUAAGCUUUUAAGUGAGGUUCCAGAAUAUGAUUUAUAUUAUUCUCUAAUACACCAUUUAAAGUGAAAGCUUUUUGGGCUUGCAAUUUGCACAGGCCCACAUUAUCUUGUGCUUAAUUUUUAUCAAAUAAAUGGGGAUAGUGAGAUUCGAACUCGUGACCAUAGUUUUGAAACCCGACCCGGUCAUUGACCCGAUCGACCCUCUGGGUCACGGGUCAGAUGGGUUGACCCGGGUUAGCCCGGGUCAACCCAAAAAAACCUAUAUUAAAAAAAAAAUUCACAUUUCACAGCAAACGAACAGGGACAACAAUAUUCACAGCAAUAUUCACAUUUCACAGCAAACGAAAUAUUCACGAAUCACGAUUGACCAUUUGAAGUCGCAGGAAAAAAAAAAAAAGAACAGAGAGGCUGAGAUACAUACCUGUGGGAAGAACCGGUGGGUCAAUCGAUGGGUCAACAGAGGGAAGAACUGAUGGAUCAACAAACUGAACGGAGGGAAGAAUCGAUGCCACUAUUAUACUCUCCUGCAAGUUCAACAGAAGAAAGAAGAUGAAACAGAGGAAUGGAUAACGAAAGGCGAAAGAAGAAAGAAACAAGUAAAAACUCAUCUCACUUUAUGCUCAUAAUUGAAACGGCGAUCAAGAGUCUUCUGCUCUUCUUCGCGACUGAGAGUGAAAUGGGUUUGACAAUUUCUAAAUUAGGUCUUCUUCAGUUCUUCUCACUUCUGCUGGUCUGCAACACUGCAAUGCAUUCGUCUCUCUGGCCUCUGCUAUUGUCGUUUUGGUCUUUUAAUUGUAAAAGGCCAAAACGACGUCGUUUCAGGCAUGGGGGUAUAAAAAAAAAUAAACCCGGGUCUCAGCCGGGUUUGGCCGGGCCGGCCGGGUCCUGGGUCGACCGAGUCUGGCCGGGCCAAUUCCCAGCCUGUUUUUGAAUUAGACCCAGCCCGGCCACAGGCCCGGGUCGGCCGGGUCCCGGGUCGGGCCGGGUCUUAAAACACUACUCGUGACCGCUUGGUCAUCAAGGCUCUGAUGUCAUGUCAAAGAACCAUCUCAACCCAAUAACUUAAGCUUUUAGGUGAAGUCCUAGAAUAUGAUUUAUAUUAUUCUCUAAUAUCUUCCACUUGUACUACCUCAUUCUGAAAUUUCUAAUCAAAGCCUAUAUAUAUAUAUAUAUGUAUAUGUAAAUGAAAUCAAAGGAAAUUCUUGACUUGUAUAUUUUCUUUAUACACAGCAAUCACCAAGGAAAUGCCAAGGAAGAAGCACAAUGAAGAUGAUAGAUUGAACCAGAGAACAUAGUCCAAUUAGGAGGAGUAUACAGAGACUCCAUGAGCUUCUAGUUCAUGUUUUCCAUAGCUAUAUAGCCAUAUAUAUCCUAUAAAUUAGUAGCUGCUUGAAAUACUGCCCAUCACACAAAGAAUUCCUGAUAUGGUCACUCGUUCAUGGCGUCGGCGAAGCUAAGAAAAUCUAAGAACAUGUAUUGCUAAGAAAAUGAUUGCCUCUGGCUUUUGAUUAACGAUUCAGAAAAUUCAUUGAGAGAUUUUUUUCCAUGAAAUGUUAUGGAGAAUAAUUAGUUUUGGGCAACCAUCAAAUGAGUACCCAACUAUGAAUUGAUUAUCAAUGUUGUCUACAAACUAUCGAGUUUUUCUCAUUAAAUACCCAACAUAUCAUACCUUUGGAAAGCAUCAAAUUAUAUGUAUGUAACUUGAUGCUUUGAAUCCAAAAUUAAGAACAUUAUAAACCAUUGAUGUCGUAAAGCGAGUAUGGGAAAAAAAACCAGCUGCUACAACAGAGAUUGUAGUCCACGGAUUAUGGAAAAACCAGCUGCAGUACUUGUUCAGAUAUUUUAACUACACCAGAAAGUGCCAAAAGCAGAAGAUAGAAAUUAUAAGGCAACAGUAAGUGGGGGGAAAUGUAGCUACUUUAAUGACAUGAGUAAACUGAAACAGCAAAAAUUGAUUGCAUUUUAUUUUUUGCUAAUCAUAUAGCAGAGAAAGCAAGAUAGGGAGGAAAUAUCGAUGAGUUAUUGAAGAACGUAUAUAGAAAUUUCAUGGGAAGAGAUAACAGAAUACACAGUUAAUUUACAGAAAACAACUGAAAUAGCAUAAUCAAACAACUUGAAUGAUCGAACACACUGUCUGUAUGAUAGUGAGUACGACUAGAACAGCAGCUGCUACAACAGAGAUUAGAGUCCAUGGAUUACGGAAAUAUUUCUGCUUCAAGGCUGCCUUCCAUUUGUGUACCCGCUUACUGUAGUACUCGUUCAGAUCUUCAACUACACCAGAAAAGUAGAAAUUGUUGACGUUGAUAACAUUUUCCUUGGAAAGAUUGCAAAAAAGGCGUGAAACUGCAUCAUUAUCAUGGAGCCAAUUUUCUAUAAUUCCUUUUUUAACAAGUAUUUCCACGUCCUUGGCAUCGGGGACAAGCAAAGAGAGCAUGGUAAUAUAGUUACAUACAUAUUUAUUAGCAUCGUAAUCGCAUUGCUCAAAAGCUUGGAGAUUUCUGAAUAGGAUUUCUGUGUGAUCGCCUAUCUUUAACUGUGGGAUUUCCAACGUCCCUUUAUUAUCAUCAAAUUUUAUGAGGAGGAGGUCUAUGCUGGACCCUAACUUGAACUUGAUUCCAGCCCGAUGGAGCUCUGCUACACUUGGAGUGGUUAGAUUCGCAAGUUUCUUUGGCUUCAUCUGCUGUGCUGGCUGCUGACAGAUUCUUAGAAAGUCAACAAAAUGCUCUAAUUUAGGCAAAUUAAUUUCCUCCAAAAUUUCCUCUGACACCCAUGAUUGCCAUGCAGCAAGUAAGAACGCAUAAGUAUGCUUAAUCAUGGAAUAUCCCUCACAAUGGUGCGGUAUUUUGGAUAGAUUGAACAAGUCCUCAACAAUGAAGAAUGGAAGCUGAUUUUCAAGCAAGCACAAAUCAAUACUUAUUUCAUCUAGCAUCCAUGGUUUAUUGAAUAUGCGGUCAAUAUUUCUACUUUGGAUAUCAGGGGGAAAUGCUUUCAGAAAGAACAUAAUGAGAAAGGAGCAAUCCAACAACACCAUUUCCACAAAUUCCUCUGUACUUAGUUUAUCGAAGGUUUCUGCAUAACAACUACGCAAUCUAGUCUCGCUCUCUGCAAUAGCUGCAAUAAAAUCCUUCACCCUUACCUUGCUCAAUUCAAGAAAUUCCCUCAGGCACAGUCUCUUAUGCUCUUCCAUUUCUUUUAGCUCUUCUUUUCCGUAGUGAAGUGGGCCAAUGGAGAUUACUUGAGGUGUGUAAGCCUUUCCAUUUAACUCACGUAGUCGUUUUGGAACUCUGUAGAUGGAACACUGAUCUGAAAAGGAACGCAAGUUUUCAACUUUCCUUCCACAGACUCUGCUAAUUUGGCAAUGUCGAGAGAAACAUGAUCGCCACUAUCCAUCUGCACUCUUGAUGUUCCAGCAACGUUCAUCCUGUGCCUAGACAAUCGCUAGUAUCACAAUUACCGAAUAGUUAGAUAAAUGCUAAAAAAAAAAAUCAAGAUCAAAUUAUAGUUUGAGAAAAAAAGUGUAGGCAGGGAAACCGAAUCGUAUAUUGGUAUCUUCAAAUGAUUUAAUAUAAAAAGAUAUUUUAUGAUUAGAAAAAAGUAUGAUCAAGAAAUGUACCGAGAAUGGUAGACUCUCCCUAUUUAAUAUAAGUUCCAAAAUUAAGAUCAGCAGAUCAAGCUAUAUAACCCGAGAGAGUAAAGCUAACUCCGGAGGUAACUGCACAUUCAAUAUCUAGACCGAAACCCAGAUCAAUCUCUUCAUGAAGGAUUCAACAUUGAUGCAGAAAUGGCAUGAAAUGUUUAACGAACCUCUCUGCUCUAUCAAAUGGAUUUGCGCUUGUAGUUAAAACCAUAAAAAAGCCAUAAAAUUAUUGAUUUUUCCUGCCAUUUUCUUUGAGGAAUAUUCAGCGCUAGAAUGGUUCGAACUUAGAAUAUAAUAUUCUCAAACCUCGUUUCAAGUAUAGGAUAAAGCAAAUGCAUCAAAGGUGGAAGCAUUCUCUACAAUAGCUUUAAGGCAUUACAAUUACAGUGUUUUACAAGUUUAACAAUAUUCUAUGCAAACCUCGUUUGAAGUAUAGCAUAAAGCAAACAAUCAUGUCGGGUUGGUUGUUCGGAGCUCCAAUAUCGCAUGAAAAACCAGAUCUAAACCGACAAAGCCAAAGCUAAUCUUAUUUGAUUUUGGGUUUUUGAGCUAUUUUUUAGGUAUUUAAAAUUGAUAAAAUGAUUCUGGAGUAUUAUAAGGGUGUUGAUGAAGUGUUUUUGAGUUGAAAUGGCUGAAAAAUUGAGUUUUAGGGCCCAAAUAUCUUUGCUUUAGUUUUCUAGGCAUCGUUGUGGUGGCCAGAAUCUAGGUUUGUAGAUGACACGUUGUCUGUCCUGGCAAGCGACAUGUCGCCUAGUUUUGUUUUAAAAAAAAAAGACAGAUAAUAAGUCAUUCGUCCCUUUUAAAAUAAUAAAAUCAAGCUCAAGCCUGCGGUCCCAAGCUUGAAGGGCCCGCCAGUGCUCCUUGGCUCCUCAUUACAGUGAAAAUGAAAAGAUUUUAUUGAAUCUUCUGCUCAAAUUCUAAAUGCAACCUUAUAGCAAUUUGUGAUUUGUUGUUCCGAAGAUUCGUAAUAUUAUUAUUUUUUUUUUUUGGUAAUAUCUCAUAGCAACGUAGAGGUGUAUGAGGUGUUUGGUAUAAUUUCUGUUUUUUUUUUUAUGUUUUUUUAAAAGUGUCAUCCCACCUGACAUCGCGGCAACCCUAAAAAUAAUUUAGAUUAUAGGAAAAGAAUGGAUUUCUGGCAUUGGGUUCUUUUAAAGGAAAAUGUCUUGUUUAAGGAGUCGUUACCUCGUAUUAUGGUCACUAGAAACCCUGACUGGUCAGCAGAAAUUCUAUGGUACGGGACUGAUUACGUAGAAGGGAAGAUAUUAUCACCUCUUAAACGUCCUGCCUGAAGCAGGCUGCAUUGCUAAAUCCUGACUGGUCAGCAGAAAUUCUAUGGUACAGGACUGAUUACGUAGAAGGGAAGAUAUUAUCACCUCUUAAACGUCCUGCCUGAGGCAGGCUGCAUUGCUAGUUUUGUCUUAAAUUGCUAAAUGUUUAUUAGUUUACGCUAUGAUAAUUUACUUCUAAUAUUCCUGACUCUGGCGCCAGUGAAUGUUCAACUACGGAUACUUCCAACUCUAGCGUUGGUAAAUAUUACGUAGUACAAAAAUAAAAUAAUUUAAAUCAGUAUUAUUAUUCUUGACUCUGACGUCAGUAAAUAUUCACCUAUGAAUAUUUCCAACUCUGAUGUUGGUAAAUAUAGAGCAACCUAAAAAAAUACGGUAUUCUUGACUCUGACCCUAGUAAAUAAAUCCGCAAAAUUCUGUAUUUAAAAGAAAUAAUUUUUUUUUAUUUAUGUUGCAUGGUUUAAAAAAAAAGGUUGGGUCACUGGUCCAAACCAGUGACCCGGCUGGCCACUGUUGCAUGCAUGCGUGAAUCACUCACGCAUGCAUGCAACAGUAGCAGUGUAAUUAAUUUACCCAAAGAAGGAAAGCUGAAGAACUUACGUGGCAAGGCUGAGGGAGACGGUGUUCAAGGCUGGCGAUUCAGCUUGCUGUUCACGGCGGAGAAGAAACCUCUCACGACUGAGGAGCCGGUGGACGUUGGCCUCAAGAGCACGAUGGGGAAAAGAGGGUUACUUGUUGGCCGGACACUCUCCCCUGUUUCUUCUUAUCUUCACUGGUUCUCCUCGCCUGUUUUUUAUCCCCUGUGUUGGUUCUGGUUUUCUCCUUCGUGUCCCUUCUGUCCUUCGUUUUCGUUUCCUUUUGUUUGCGUCUAUUUGCCCUAUGUCUCCCCUAUCUGGUGUAAAAGAUGGAGAGGGCAGUGGUCCCUUUUCCUCCGUGGCCUUCUCUGGCUUUUAUAAAGCCGGAGGACGGCCUCUAUUUCUUUGAGAAGAAAUAGCGGAACGCAAGUCUGCUACCCUGGUUUCUCUCGGUUCCCCCCUGCUCAGGACGAAGGAGAUGGUAAUAAAAGCAUGACGUUCUGCCGGUUGAAAGUGAGCUCGCUCUGGUUUUUCUCCUUUUUUUUUAGUUUCUUCUUCCUCUGUUUUCUUCUUCCUAUCCUCGGUUCUGCCCCUCCCUGCCUUCCUUCUUUUUGCUGUCCCCCCUUAGAAUGCCAUGCGGUCGACCGUGCCUCUGUUUUAAUGUAGGAGUAAAGGCAGCAGUUUUUUUUUUUUUUUUCCGGGUGAAGAAGAUGAACAGUGUUGAGGUUAUUUUUCGUUUUGGUCCUUUAUGUUUUGAACGUUUUGUAAUCAAGCCCUUGGAUAAACUUUAAUUGGACCUCUGAAUUUCAUCAAACUGUACAAACCAGUCCCUGGAUUAUAAUUUCUCGCAAAUGUUACCAGAAUCAGCCCUAUACUUUGAUAAAUUUUCAAUUAAGCCCCUCAUUUCAUUAAUUAAAUUAAUACCAAUCUCAAUUAAGUCUCAAAACAUAUCAAUUCUCCAAUUAAACCCUUGAUUGGAUUAAUUAAAUUAGUUUCAAGCUUAAUUAAGUCUCAAAACUUUAUCAAUUCUCCAAUCAAACCCUUGAUUGGAUUAAUUAAAUCAAUUUCAAGCUUAAUCAAGUCUCAAAACUUAUCGAUUAUCCAAUUAAACCCUUGACUUCAUUAAUUAAACUAGUCAAGAAUUUAAUUAAAUCUUUAAACUUCCCAUCAUGUUACCUUUAAUCCAAAUUUUAGUCCACACAACUCCUCGAGCAUGAAGAACGGGAGCUGAUUUUCAAGCAAACAGAUAUCAACCCUAAAGCAUUUUAAAAGAAAGUUAAAAGGACGAUUUAUGAAUUUUUAAAAAAGUUGUUUUCACCGACAAUAUUAAGGUGUCAGUCAACUCUCAAUUAUUAUUAACUAUUUUUAGCAUAUUUAAAGACUAUAAUAAGCUCAUGUUAAUGAUUCUUUUGAGUGUAUGAAUAUAUAAAUCCUUCCAUGUGGGACAAUUGAAUAAUUGAAGUCGUAUAUUCAUCAUCCAUCUGCCCUAUCUCUGUCGAUUUCGCACUAGAAUUUCCAUGCCCGUAUUCAUUGGUGGGAAAAAUUCAAAGCUACAUGAUUUCUCAAAGUUUUUUUAUAGGAUAAAAUAAAAUAUUAAUAGUGUAUUUCUCAAAGUUUUUUAAUCACCUUUCAUUUUUUUAAAAAAAAAAUUAUCAUAAUCUUAUAACAUAGAUCACCAGUUUUGCAUGCUAUUUUUAAAAUUGUUUUAUUUGUGUUUAAUUUUUCAAGAUAUUAUUCUAUUUUAUUUUUAUUUUUAUUUUGUUUUAUAAAAGUUAACUUUAUUUUUAAAAAUAAAAAAUAUUUAUUUUUAAAUAAUAUUAUUGAUUUGUUGAGUCUUGCAAAGUAUUUUUUAGGACGUGAAUUUAUUCAAUUAAUUUUAUUUAUAUUUAUUUUUUAUAUAAUGAGAUUUUUAAAUUAUAAAUUUAUUUUUUAUUAAUUUAAAUAAAUAAAUUCAGUAAAUCUCAUGCUAAGCAGGCCUGUAAAAAGCGUAGAACAGAAUAAAACAAUUUCAAUUUCCAAGAGACAAUCAGAACACAUUGUGCGCAUGAGCUGUAUUAAAUCCUAGAUUGAUAUGUAUUUGUGUACAUAUAGGAAUCCGAGAUUGAUUCGUAGUUGUAUAUAGAUAGGAACAAAUAACUUUCCUGCUUAUCCUCUGUAUCUUUCCUAUUUCAUCUCUGAAGUGUAACUAUAUAUAUUGCCUCCUGUGGAGAAGAAUAUAACGAAGAGAAGUAAUAUUACAGAAACCUUAUUGUUUACAUGGUAUCAGAGCAGACUCAAUUCUAUCUGCAGUAAACCAAACCGAAUACGAACCUCGAAUCCCUUCUCCUACGAAAAAAUAAUUUGUAUCAAGCUACUGUUCUUAUUCUACAAAACAGAAUCCUCUAUAUUUCUGAGACGUAACUCACAAGUUAUUUGUGCUUUCUUCUUCAUCUAGUAUUUUUUCUUCUUCUAUGGCUGCAGACAUGUCGACUUCAAUUGUUCCAACACCAACACAGCAGAUUAUUGUACAUCAAGAUAACUCUUCCUUCCCAACCGGAGUCAUCCUUGAUGAGACCAACUAUUCAUUAUGGUCUCAACUCAUGGAGAUGCGUAUAGGGGCUCGCAACAAAGCUGGAUAUCUCACGGGAGAAACAAAAAAACCAGAAGUUGGAGAUCCCAAUCUUGGAGCAUGGAUUACUGAAAAUCACAGAGUAAAAAGUUGGCUCAUUGAUGCAAUGAGUCCAGCAUUAAUGCAACGAUUUAUUCGCCUGUCUACAGCCAAAGAAAUAUGGGAGGCCGUAUCAAAAACAUUUUAUGAUGGAUCAGAUGAAACCUGUAUCUUCGAACUGAACCAAAGAUCUUUCUCUACCAAACAGAAUGGUCGCCCCUUAUCAACUUACUAUAAUGAACUUGUUGCUAUAUUUCAAGAAAUUGAUCACAAGACAAAAUCUCAGGAAGGAACAGUUGAGGGGGUACUUCAGUUACACUCUGCAAUGGCUAGACUUAGAGUUCAUAUCUUUCUGAGUGGACUUGAUUCAGAAUUCAAUCAGGUUUGUGGCGAAAUCUUGCGCAAAGAUCCAAAACUUGAUUUGGAGAACACAUACGCAUAUGUCAGGAGGGAAUACCAGCAAAGACAAACCAUGGGAAGCUAUCAUCCAAACUCUGAGAAUUUAGCUAUGCUAACCAACACUCCUCGACAAGGAUCAUCAUAUGAAUCAACCAGUAAACGAAACACUCAAUUAUCCAGAAAGGUUAACAACCUGGUCUGCGCUCAUUGUGGGGAAAAAGGUCAUUCACAACAGCGGUGCUAUGAGAUUAUUGGUAUCCCGAGUGGUGGGAUUUCUCAAAGAAACCUCGGAAAAAGAUCCCUGCAAGAGCUAUGACAACGUCUACAGAAGAAGAUCACCAGCAGCCUACAGCAAAUAUUGCUCAUCCUGGUAAAGUUGGUAAAGUAUCUGUAUUCCCUGCACAUUAUAAGGAUAAAACUUGGAUUGUUGAUACAGGUGCAUCUGAACAUAUGACGAGAGACGUUAGACAAUUACAAUCCAUACUCCCUUCUUCUCAAUCAGUUAUUUCCACAGCCAAUGGUAGUACCUCCCCUGUUACUGGGGAAGGUUCAGUUAUUUUUUCAAAUACACUCACACUCAAUACUGUCCUUGUUGUUCCCUCUCUUGAAUAUAAUCUGUUAUCUGUUAGCCAAAUUACAUUCACCCUUCAUUGUACUGUAACGUUUUGGCCCUCCUUUUGUGUCUUUCAGGACAUUCUAACGCGGAAGAUUCUUGGCUAUGGUGUUAGACGGGGCAAACUCUACUACUUGGAAUUAACAGAUAAUGGAGAAUCAAAAAUUAGUCAGGCAAAUCAUGUUAGUAGCAGAGAUAAGGCUCAGACAGUUAUAUGGCUAUGGCAUCGUAGAUUAGGACAUCUUUCUUUUGGUUAUCUAAAGAAACUACAACCAGUACUCUUUUCUGGUAUUAAUGAAUUGGAUUUUCAUUGUGAUACAUGUGAACUGGCUAAAAGUCACCGUAUCUCUUAUUCUCCAAGUUUGAAUAAAAGUUCAGAACCAUUUGAGGUCAUUCACACGGAUGUUUGGGGUCCUGCAAAGGUUCCUGCAAUUUCUAGCUCUCGUUAUUUUGUGACUUUUAUUGAUGAAUGCACGAGAAUGACUUGGGUAUCCUUACUUAUACACAAGAAUGAUGUGUGUCUAGCUUUCCAGACAUUCCAUAAAAUGAUACAAACUCAGUACCAAAAACAAAUUCGUGUGGUGCAGUCUGAUAAUGGCACCGAGUUUGUAGCUGCAUCUCUUGGGAACUUCCUGUGCAGCCAUGGAAUUCGCCAUCAGACCUCGUGCACCUAUACUCCACAACAGAAUGGAUUAGCUGAGCGGAAAAAUCGACAACUAUUAGAGGUAGUACGUGCUUCUCUUUUUGGUAUGAAUAUGCCAAAAUUUUAUUGGGGUGAGGCUGUGAAAUCUGCUACUUAUAUCAUCAACAGAACACCAUCUCGAGUCCUAGAUUUUCAAACACCCUUACAAAAGUUACAAUCCUUACUCCCAGUUCCCCAUUUCCCCAACCUUGAACCUCGAAUUUUUGGUUGUACCGUGUUUGUUCACAUCCCAAAAAUCUUACGGAACAAACUUGAUCCAUGUGCAAAACGUUGUGUAUUUGUUGGCUACUCUGAUCUUCAGAAAGGAUAUAGAUGUUAUGAUCCCCACACCCGAAAAUUCCAUGUGACAUUGGAUGCUUCCUUUCGUGAGCUCAUUCCUUAUUACUCUGGUGGAGCCUUGAGCCAUUCUCUUCAGGGGGAGAACUUCAGUAACGAGAAUGAGGAUCUGAUGGAUAAAGGAGGUGAGGAGUUUACCCAGUUAGAGGCUCUGAUGGAUAAAGUAAGUGAGGAGUCUAUCCAGUUAGAAGAGAAUGAAAACUUGAAUCCACAAGGCAGUAAUCAUAGCACUGAUGUCGAGAAUGAUUCCACACAUGAAGCUCUAGUUUUUCCUGAUGAAUCUGCACCACCAUUUGAGUUGCCCCUGUCUACACCAUUACCUGCAGAAUCAUCCACGAAUGUUCCCCCUCAGGUAAGUCAUGGGAUUAGAGAGUCUAAUGAAAUAUAUUGUCCUACAGAAAACCCCACUUCUAGAUAUCCACAAAGGAUGAAUAAGGGAAUUCCGAAAAAACAAUAUGAUCCUGAUCUUACAGUCAAAACCAAAUAUCCAAUUAAUAACUAUGUGUCCUCUCAUAGGUUGACUCGUUCAUAUGCACUUACUGUUAAUCAACUUUCCACAGUUUCUAUUCCUAGUAAUGUGCAGGAUGCAUUGGCUAAUCAAAGAUGGAGAAAGGCAAUGAAUGAAGAGAUGGAGGCUCUACAGAAAAAUGCUACGUGGGAACUAGUUCCGCUGCCCAAAGGAAUGAAGACAGUUGGAUGCAGAUGGGUGUUCACUGUGAAACUCAACCCAGAUGGUAGUAUUGACAGGUAUAAAGCUCGACUAGUCGCAAAGGGAUAUACACAAAGGUAUGGGGUAGACUAUCAGGAUACUUUUGCACCAGUAGCCAAGAUCAAUACUAUUCGUAUUCUUAUAUCUAUAGCCGCAAAUCGAGACUGGCCUCUGCAACAGUUUGAUGUUAAGAAUGCAUUUCUCAAUGGUGAUCUAGAAGAAGAAGUCUACAUGGAACUACCACCUGGAGUUAACAGCAACUUAGGCAAAGGUGAAGUCUGCAAACUAAAGAAGUCACUGUAUGGACUAAAACAGUCACCUAGAGCAUGGUUUGGGAGAUUCUCUGCUACAAUGAAGGAGUUUGGCUAUAAACAAAGUAACUCUGACCAUACUUUGUUUAUAAAACAUAACGAAGGAAGAGUAACCGUUUUAAUUGUAUAUGUGGAUGAUAUGGUCAUGACAGGAGAUGAUCCACGUGAAAUGAAAGCAUUACAGAGAUAUCUAGCUACUAAAUUUGAAAUGAAGGAUCUCGGACACCUUAAAUAUUUUUUAGGAAUUGAGGUGGCAAGGUCAAGGCAGGGAAUAUCUCUUUCACAACAAAAAUAUGUGAUAGACCUGCUAACUGAAACUGGAAUGCUUAGUUGCAAACCAGUAGAAACGCCCAUGGAGAUGAACCAUAAGCUGGGAAUUUUUCCAGAUCAGGAUCCAACAGACAAGGAUCGUUACCAGCGAUUAGUUGGAAGGCUAAUCUACUUAUCCCAUACCAGACCUGAUAUAGCAUAUGCAGUAAGUGUGGUGAGUCAGUUCAUGCAUGCACCAAGUAAAGAACAUAUGGAAGCAGUAUAUCGAAUCUUACGGUACUUAAAAGGUUCUCCAGGAAGAGGAUUGUUGUUCACAAAAAACAAUAUUCCUAACAUUGAAGGAUAUACAGACUCUGAUUGGGCAGGAGAUCAGACGACCAGAAAAUCUACUUCUGGUUAUUUUACGUUUGUAGAAGGUAAUCUUGUCACUUGGAAAAGCAAGAAACAAAAAGUAGUAGCAAGAUCAAGUGCUGAAGCUGAAUUUCGAGGGAUGGCUCAUGGUGUAUGUGAAUUGAUAUGGAUAAGGAAUAUAUUAAGGGAUCUAGGGAUUGAAUAUACUGAACCUAUGAAUCUCUUUUGUGAUAAUAAAGCAGCUAUAGCAAUCGCACAGAACCCAGUUCAACAUGAUCGCACCAAACACGUUGAGGUUGAUCGUCAUUUCAUCAAGGAGAAUCUCGAUGGAAGAAUCAUACAGUUUCCAUUUAUACAAUCUAAGAGUCAACUGGCUGAUGUACUCACAAAGGCAGUUUCAGGAAAGGCGUUUCAUGAUAUAAUUAACAAGUUGGGCAUGAUAAACAUCUAUGCACCAACUUGAGGGGGAGUGUGCGCAUGAGCUGUAUUAAAUCCUAGAUUGAUAUGUAUUUGUGUACAUAUAGGAAUCCGAGAUUGAUUCGUAGUUGUAUAUAGAUAGGAACAAAUAACUUUCCUGCUUAUCCUCUGUAUCUUUCCUAUUUCAUCUCUGAAGUGUAACUAUAUAUAUUGCCUCCUGUGGAGAAGAAUAUAACGAAGAGAAGUAAUAUUACAGAAACCUUAUUGUUUACACACAUUAUACAGUCUUCAUUGCUUGGAAUUUCUACUGAAACAACUUUGUUAUUUAGAAGAACGAAAACAAAGAAGAGAACAAGGAUUAUGGGUACAAUUAAUGCAACAUGCGGAUUAAUUCAUAUGAAAGAAUUGAAACUGCAGAAGCUAAACUACUUGAAGUAUAGAGCAGACGGCUUGUAUGACAGUCAGAAUGAGAAGACUAACAGCUGCUGAGACAGAGAUUGCUGCCCAUGGGGUAUUGAAAUAAUCUUGCUUUAAAGUCGCCUUCCACUCGUUCCAUGGCCUUCCGCAGAAUGCAUUCAGAUCUUUAAUGAGACCUUCAAAGAAAAAAUCAUCUGACCACACUAGAUUUCCUAUGUUGAGAUUGUCAAAGAGUUUUACCACUUCCUCAUUAGACGGUAGCCAGUUUUCUAUAAUACCAUUUUCAACAAGUAUUUCCACAUCCUUACUGGCACUGACAAAGAAACCCAUCAAGAAGAGAUAGUCACCAACAUAACCAUACUUCAGGCCAUGGCACUGCCCAAAGGCUUGUAUAUUCAUGAUUAUGAUUUCUGUUCUGUCUUCUAUCUUUAAUCGUGGAAUUUCUAAUGUCCCUUUAUUUCUAUCGAAUUUUAUGUCAAGAAGAUUUUUGCUUGAACCCAACACAAACUUGACCCCCGCUUGUUGGAGCUUCUUUACACUGGGUGCGGCUACUACUUCGAGUUUCUCUUUCGGGUUCUGUAACUUCUGUUUAGUUGGCUGAAGAUAAAUUGAAAGAAAGUCAACCAAAUGUUUCACUCCGGAGAUUUCUUUGUUCUCCAAAAUGUCCCCUCCUGCCCAUGAAUCCCAAUCACGUGAAAAGAACAAAUGAGUAACCUCAAUCAGUGUAGGUGUCGGAGAAUUGCGGAGUAUAGUGGAUAGUCCACACAACUCGUUGAGGAUGAAGAACGGGAGCUGAUUUUCAAGCAAACAGAUAUCAACCCUUACAUCUACCCUCUUGUAUGGAGGAUCGAAAAUGCUGUCUCUGCUACCUUUGAAUUCUGGGAAAUUGCACUUCAGCAAAAACAUAAUGACGAAGGCAGCAUCCAUUAAUAUCAUUUUUAUGAAGUCUUCGGGACUAAGCUCAAUGGUCUCCGCAUAGCAAUUACGCAAUCUUGUUUCGUUCUCCUUAAUAAAUUCAACAAAACCCUCAACACUUACCUCGCUCCGGGCAAUGAAUUCUUUCAGGUACAUUCUUUUUUGGUCUUCCAUGGCUUUUAGCUCCUCUUUGCCAUGGUGAAUUGGGCCUAUGGAGACCAAUCGAGGUGUGUAGGCCUUUUCGUUCAACUCGCGCAAUUGCUCAGGUACUUUAUAUAUACAACAUGUGUCGGAGAAAGCAUAUGAGAUUUCCAGCUCGUCCUUCAAAGAUUUGGCUAAUUUCUCGAUAUCAAGCGAAACUUGAUGACUCGGCUCAUCAUUAGUGCUUGAUUUUCCAACAGUUUCCAUCCUGUGACUGAACUGAAAUGAUAGCUAGUAUUAGAACAAAGCAAGCAGAUCAAAAAAAUUGUUACCACUGAGAAAACAAAUUCAAUUACGAGACUGCUGACCUCUGGAGGAGAUAACUUGGAAUUUCUAUUGAAAACAAGGAUUAUGGGUAUAGAGUACAGAGCAACAUGAAAGAAUUGAAAUUGCAGAAGCUAAACUACUUGAAGUAUAGAGCAGACGGCUUGUAUGACAGUCAGAAUGAGAAGAAUAACAGCUCCUGUGACUGAACUGAAAUGAUAGCUAGUAUUAGAACAAAACAAGCAGAUCAAAAAAAAUUGUUAUCACAGAGAAAACAAAUUCAAUUACGAAAGUUUUUGGUGGGUAGGGAUAGGAGGUUCCGGCGAUUUUUAUAGGGCAAGGGGAGAGGCGAGGAGGGAGGGAGGAGACAGUGAAAUGGGAUUUGAACCGUUGAUCGGUAAGCUAAUGGAAAAUUACAAGAGCGCGUUUCGCAUUACGGUUUAAAAGUGUUUUUUAAAAAAUUUAAAUUUUUUUUAUUUUAAAGUUAUAUGUUUUUUAUAUUUUUAAAUUAUUUUAAUGUGCUGAUCUCAAAAAUAAUUUUUAAAAAUAAAAUAAUAUUAUUAACAUAUUUUUCUAAAUAAAAAAUAUUUUUCAAGCAACCUCAACCCCACUUUCUAAAUAUAAUCCGAAGAGGGGAAAGGUGAAAGUAAUAGUCGUAAUUAUGAGGCAUGGUCGCAUGUGAUACAAUUGAAUAAUUGGAUUCGUAUAUUCAUCUGUCCUAUCUCUGUCGAUUUCACACUAGAAUUUCCAUGUCUAAACAGCCUUAGGUUUGCAAGCUGUCCCUUCUCUUUUGUUGUCUUGUUUAUAUUCACCUAACGUAGAGGGGAUGGUACCUGACUUCAAUGACAUGAGCCUUCACCAAAUAUAUAAUUAAUUCAUGAAAGCUCUCGUGAUAAUAAUGUUUUAGAAAGAUUUUGGAUGUGAGACAUAGAUAUAUUUUGUAUAGUGGUAUGAGAUGGCCCCAAAACAAAAAGAUCCAAUUUUAAUGCAAAACUUGUUUAAAAGUUUUGUGAAAGUUUUACUAUAUUAAUUUCUUGAUUAAACCUUUCUAUAUAAACCCUUUUUAGAUAAACUUUUACAAUAUUUUUUUUAUUAAAGGAUGUUUAUUAUAUGUAAAAUACUGUAUAAAUCUAACUAUAAAUCUAAUUUAUUCAUUAAAAAUAUUUUUACCUCAAAUAAUUCUAUAAAAUAUUUAAAAAAUAAUAAUCAAGUUUUAAUAUCAUAAAUCUUUCAACAAUCACAGGUGCUCCAAUCACUAUCAUGUAUAUAUAUAUAUAUUUCAGGGAUUAUGAGACAAUCUCAAUCAAAUCAUUUGUAUUCAUAAGCAUUUAUUUAUAAAAUAUUUUAUUCCCUUUAUCGAUCUAUCAAUUAGCUGAAUCAAUAAAUAAUGAUUCUAAAAUUUUCUAUUUCAAUAUACCUAUAAACCAUUUCCAAUUCUUUUUGUCUUUUUUUUGGAAUGAUUGGCCCUCUAUUAUUUAUCUGAUAAAAUGGGACCACCUCUAUUAUUUCUUAUGAAAAGGGGACCACCUCUCACUUCUCAUUCAAACUGUGCAAUUCUACAGUAUUCUGAAGACUUUUCUAGUCUUGUACCUUAUCCACUACAGUUCUGCACCUUGUCUGUAUUAUUUGGAAACGUGGAUGAAUUCAUAUUUUUAAAAAGUUUAAAAACAAAAUUAAAAAAGUUAAUUUUUUUUAUGAUUUAUAUUAUUUUGAUUUGUUAAUUUUAAAAAUAAUUUUUAAAAACUAAUAAAUAUUAUUUUAAUAUAUUUUAAAAUAAAAAUAUUUUAAAAAAUAAUAACACCUACCGAAACAAAACCAUAUAUAACUGAUUCAAUAUCACAUCACAGGAAAAUGCAGCCCUUUUCAACUCUCUUUACACAAAGACAGCAAUUAAAUGGAAACAGUAAGUAUUUUAUUUAAUAAUUUUAAUACAAUGACUAGGCAGUAAAGUACAUGUACACACAGUGCGGAAGUCAUACAGAACAAUUAAGAUAGCAGACCUAAACAACUUGAAUCAGAGAGCACACAGUUUGUAUCACAGUGAGCAUGAGGAGAAUAGCAGCAGCGAUUACAGAUAUUAUGGCCCAUGGAUUACGGAACUAAUUUUGUUUCAAGCUUGCCUUCCAUUUGUGCCUCCGCUUUAUACAGUAUUUAUUCAGAUCUUCAACAAUUUCAGAAAAGUAGAAAUUGUCGAGGAAGAUGAGAUUUUCUUUGUCAAGAUUGUGGACAACACUUAAAACAGCAAUUAAUGAUUCAAGUUGGCAAAUUCCAGCUUCUGGUGUGAAGCACUAGCAUAAUGCUUUACUUUAUUAUUAUUCUUAUUAAUGACUUUUUUUCUUUAAAAAUGAGAAACAGAGGGAAAACAAUUCAGCUGAAUCCCAAUUGCCCCAUUAUUUCCAUCUUCUACAUUCAAAGCAAUUAACUUGUUUGUUUUUUAAAUGAAUAUAAGUAAUUUCUUAUCGAUCACUAGACGAUUAUGGAGCCCUGAUGACAAAUUAACCCUUAAGCUGCCCAUCAGUACAAGACUGGAGAAAAUCAAAGGUAUAACACGAGAUAACCCCUAAAAGAUGCUUCUGUUUGUUGAUAUGUGAAGUCCUCUAAUGAAAAAUGGAGCUGACAAAUUCUUGUGCAUGAAAUUCAGAUGACAGGCCUGAGUAUGCUUCAAUUCAAGUAAUACAACUGGUGUCAACUGAUUCUCUGUCAGAAUGGUCAACUCCAAUACCUGCUGCUUACAAUGAUCAUCUGGUUACCUUUUCACAAGAAUCUAGAAACCCAACCUUCUUCUUGAUCAACUCAAACCAUAUAAUUACUGUGGGAAUAAAUUAACCAUUCUCGAUCUGGCAACAAUUCUGCUCUUCAUUCAACAUCCCUGACCGUUUCCUGUCCCUUCUCCGUGAUUUUACUCUUUUGACAAAUUAAUUGCAGUUUGAUUCAUACAAUAACCAUGUUGAAGAAAAAAACUAGACAUGAAAGAAACUAGCAUUUAUUAAAACAAGGAUGUUAACUAAACAUCAAGCAUGUCUUGCAUAGAACAAUGACAUGCAAACCUGCUUAAGACAGACAUGAAGAAAACGACUGCAGGUGUCUUAUGAGCAGAAUGUUUGAACAAGAACUAAAUAGCAUAUAAAAAUAGAUUUGAAUUUUAAGGUUAUUUACUGUCAGAGAAAGUGACAUUCAAAGAUGACAAUCCAGCAGUAUCAGGACUGUUGAGUUGAUCAAGUUGCUUCUUACCACAACGAAGCAAAUAUUCAAUGUAAAUGAAAUUCUGGCGAUCUACUUGUUUGGAGUUCCGGCGGAACUCAGCUGAAACAACGGAUUCAAUCCGCCGUCGAUCUUCAGGGGACUUUGAACGAGCAGCAAUAUCAGUUGGUUAUGAAAGUAUUGGCAUUUCAUCAAACACCAAAUCGCAUUCAGAUCAGCAGCUUGAAAAAAAAAGUAGAAUCGAAAAAACAAUGCAGAAGCAAUCUUAGACCAGAUCAAUGAACUGGGACCUUGACAUUUUUACUAAAGAACUAGGAAAUCACCAAUGAACAUGUAUUUCUAAGAAAAUGAUUGCCGAAAAAAAAUCCUACAACAUUAUUUAUAUAAUUAUUAAGAACAAAAACAAUUAAAAAAAAACAAAUAUAGUGAGAGAAAGAAACAUGAAAAAAGAAGAAAAAAAAAGAUGAUAGAUUGAACCAGAGAACAUAGUCCCAUUAGGAGGAGUAUACAGAGACUCCAUGAGCUUCCCAUCAAGCAAAGAAUUCCUGAUAUGGUCAUUGGUUCAUGGCGUCGGCGAAGCUGCUUGCCAAAUUGUUUGCAAAAGAAAGAAAUUGUUUCCAUAAAAAAAGCAUUAACCCAAGGAUAACUAUACGAGAGCAUGAUGGUAAAUAAUAAUAUAAAUUAUAUUUUAGAAUUUUACCUAAUAGUUUAAGUUAUUAGAUUUAGAUGGUUCUUUAAUAUUGUAUAAGAAUCUUGACGACCAAGUGAUCAUGAGUUCGAAUCUUAUCAUCUUUAUUUAUUUGAUAAAAAUUAAAUAUAAGGUAAUGUAAGCUUCUAGAAAUUUCAAGCACAAAAAGUUUUUACUUGAGAGAUAUAUUGGGUUGGAAAUUUUAAGUGUAUGUUUCAAUGUCGUAUAGGCAUCAAAGAAACCUAAACGAAGCUGAAAAUUUUGCUAUCAGGAAAGCAAAUUUGUUUCUGCUACACGUAGUUCUUACGAACUAAGACUAGAAGGUUUUAUAGAUGGUGUUAUAUUACAUUAUAUUGUUUCUAAUCUCUGUAUAUGGAAAGUUUGAGAAUACCAACUUGGACGUAUUUAAAAGGUGCUGAGGCAGCGAUUAAUGAUUCAAGUUUGCAAAUUCCAGCUUCAGGUGUGAAGCACAAGCAUAAUGCUUUACUUUAUUAUUAUUAUUAUUAUUAUUAUUAUUAUUUGCUGGUCAAAUUCUUGUGCAUGAAAUUCAGAUGACAGGCCUGAGUAUGCUUCAAUUCAAGCAAUACUUUAUGGCCCAUAGGCCUUAUCUAUUUGCUGGUCAUACAACUCCAAUACCUGCUGCUUACAAUUUACAAUGAUCAUCUGGUUACCUUUCACAAAAAUCUAGAAACCCAACCCUCUUCUUGUCAACUCAAACCAUAUAAUUACUGUUGGGAAAUUAACCAUUCUCGAUCUGGCAACAAUUCUGCUCUUCAUUCAACAUCCCUGACCGUUUCCUGUCCCUUCUCCGUGAUUUUACUAUUUUGACAAAUUGAUUGCAGUUUGAUUCAUACAAUAACCAUGUUGAAGAAAAAAACUAGACAUGAAAGAAACUGACAUUUAUUAAAACAAGGAUGUUAACUUAAACAUCAAGCAUGUCUUGCAUAGAACAAUGACAUGCAAACCUGCUUUAGACAGACCUGAAGAAAAUGAUUGCUGGUGUCUUAUGAGCAGAAUUGUUUGAACAAGAACUAAAUAGCAUAUAAAAAUAGAUUUGAAUUUUAAGGUUAUUUAGUUUCAGAGAAAGUGACAUUCAAAGAUGACAAUCCAGCAGUAUUCAAUGUAAAUGAAAUUCUGGCGAUCUACUUGUUAGGAGUUCCGGCGGAACUACUUGAAGUAUAGAGCAGACGGAUUGUAUGACAGUCAGAAUGAGAAGAAUAACAGCUCCUGAGACAGAGACUGCAGCCCAUGGGGUAUUGAAAUAAUUUUGCUUUAAAUUUGCCUUCCAUUUGUUCCAUGGCCUUUCGCAGAAUGCAUUCAGAUCUAUAAUGAGACCUUGAAAGAGAAAAGUACGUGACCACACACUAUUUUGUUUGUUGAGAUUGUAAAAGAGUUGUACCACUUCCUCAUUAGACGGUAGCCAGUUUUCUAUAAUACGAUUUUCAACAAGCAUUUCCACAUCCUUACUGGCACUGCUCAAAGGCUUGCAUAUUCCUGAUUAUGAUUUCUGUUCUGUCAUCUAACUGUAAGCGUGGGAACUCUAGUCUCCCUUUAUUUCUAUCGAAUUUUAUGUCAAGAAGAUUUUUGCUUGAACUCAACACAAACUUGACCCCCGCUUGGUGGAGCUCCUUUACACUGGGUAAGGCUAAUACUUCGAGUUU
Molecule: long non-coding RNA, 32530 nt
Filed under: Populus tremula
Lineage: Eukaryota; Viridiplantae; Streptophyta; Magnoliopsida; Malpighiales; Salicaceae
Description: long non-coding RNA (PTRE_LNC001902)
Rfam family: MIR2912 microRNA precursor family (bases 10510-10659)
Source: RNAcentral